Molecule: long non-coding RNA, 1240 nt
Filed under: Capra hircus (goat)
Lineage: Eukaryota; Metazoa; Chordata; Mammalia; Artiodactyla; Bovidae
Description: lncRNA (ENSCHIG00010030861.1)
Source: RNAcentral
AUGGGUGUUGUUAAUGGUAACCAGAGUUUUGUUUUCAGUGGCGAUUAUUUUUGGAAGACACUAGGACAACUGAGUCACCCGUCGUAUUUUAGGGAAAAGGAUGAAACAAGAAACCCCAAAGGAACAGGUGAAGAUUCGCUAGGCAGAUUUCUGCCUUGUACUGAAAGUUUUUUGGGUCAAGAUAUAUGUACGUGCAUGAGCUCAGAUGGAACUUUCCUGAGCCAUGGCGGGGCUGAAUUUAGCCGUGAGCUAAGGCUCUCAGUCACUCAGAGUGUCAUCCAGCAGAGAAUGGCUAGCGUAUCCUGGGGCUUUGUUUAUUGAAAAGAGGUCCAAUAAGCACACCAUGUUCUUAGAGCAUGCUGGCCUUGCUCUUCUCCAAAUGGCUCCACAAUACUAAGCAUCUCUCUGAGCACCAUCAGCUGCUGACGUGACUCACCGUCAACAGCCUCCAGGACCUUCAUGAAUCACAGCUCAUGGGCAGGCUCUUGCCAGAAAUCGAAGUUAUAACCUCACUGGUUACUGUGUACUUUUAGAAACCCAAAUUAGCUUUCCUCAGGGAAACACUAUGGUGGUUGGCAAAAGCAGACACCUCUUUCUGUCAUCUUGGGCACAGCUUGAUGCUGCUAUGAGUGGCUGGCCAUUGCUGAUGGCAGAGUUUGCGAGAGGGAAGUGAUAGGGAGGGAACUGGGAGGAUGUAGCUGUUUGACUCUGACUCUGACUUUGACUCAGACUUUGAUCUGAUCAAAGGUGUUUAGCACCAGGCUCAGCUGGCUUAGAAGAAGGAGUACAUGCUUGGUGGAUAGACCCCAGAGUCUGAAUUCAGCUUCCAUUGCAUAUUUUGUAUUAACUUCUCAUAUUCCUCAGCGUCCUCAUCUAUAAAAUGGGCAUAGAGAUUUCCUCUUAGAUCUGUUGUGAGGAUGAAAACACAGAAUGCUUGUAAAUGACAGUCUGGUAUAUAGCAGAUAUUCAGCUUUCCUUUCUCUCUAGUUGGUUUCCAGGUUUGUGACUGACAAUUCAAAUAAAUGAGGGGUUCACAGGUUUUUUUUUUUUAAUAAAGGGACAGAGGGCAAGUAUUUCAGGUUUUGUGGGCCAGGAGGCAAGAUUAAGGAUAUUAUUUACAUGGACGGAGGUUCGUGACAUUGUCCAGGAGACAGGAAUCAAGACCAUCCUCGAGAAAAAAAUGCAGAAAACAAAAUGGCUGUCUGAGGAGGCCUUACAAAUAGCUGUGAAAGAAGAGAAG